Molecule: ribosomal RNA, 304 nt
Filed under: uncultured bacterium
Lineage: Bacteria
Description: partial 16S ribosomal RNA
Rfam family: Bacterial small subunit ribosomal RNA
Source: RNAcentral
CAGCAGUAGCCGCGGUAAUACGGAGGGAGCUAGCGUUGUUCGGAAUUACUGGGCGUAAAGCGCACGUAGGCGGCUUUGUAAGUUAGAGGUGAAAGCCUGGAGCUCAACUCCAGAAUUGCCUUUAAGACUGCAUCGCUUGAAUCCAGGAGAGGUGAGUGGAAUUCCGAGUGUAGAGGUGAAAUUCGUAGAUAUUCGGAAGAACACCAGUGGCGAAGGCGACUGACUGGACAAGUAUUGACGCUGAGGUGCGAAAGCGUGGGGAGCAAACAGGAUUAGAUACCCCUGUAGUCCCUGUCUCUUAUAA